This 464-nucleotide ribosomal RNA is filed under the name uncultured bacterium. Its description in RNAcentral is "partial 16S ribosomal RNA". It matches the Rfam family "Bacterial small subunit ribosomal RNA", at positions 339 to 795 of the family's 1533-position model. The record is from RNAcentral.
CUACGGGAUGCACCAGUGGGGAAUUUUGGACAAUGGGGGCAACCCUGAUCCAGCCAUUCCGCGUGAGGGAAGAAGGCCUUCGGGUUGUAAACCUCUUUCGGCAGGAACGAAACGGUGAAGGCUAAUAUCCUUUAUCAAUGACGGUACCUGAAGAAGAAGCCCCGGCUAAGUACGUGCCAGCAGCCGCGGUAAUACGUAGGGUGCGAGCGUUAAUCGGAAUUACUGGGCGUAAAGCGUGCGCAGGCGGGUUUGUAAGACAGAUGUGAAAUCCCCGGGCUUAACCUGGGAACUGCGUUUGUGACUGCAAGACUCGAGUGUGGCAGAGGGGGGUGGAAUUCCACGUGUAGCAGUGAAAUGCGUAGAGAUGUGGAGGAACACCGAUGGCGAAGGCAGCCCCCUGGGUCAACACUGACGCUCAUGCACGAAAGCGUGGGUAGCAAACAGGAUUAGAUACCCCUGUAGUC